GACGAACCAUCCAAACGUUAUUCGGAAUCACUGGGCUUAAAGGGUGCGUAGGCGGCGCUGUAAGUUGGGUGUGAAAUACCUCAGCUUAACUGAGGAAUUGCGCCCAAAGCUGCAGUGCUCGAGGAAGACAUAGGUGAGCGGAACUUAGGGUGGAGCGGUGAAAUGCGUUGAUAUCCUAAGGAACACCAGUAGCGAAAGCGGCUCACUGGGUCUUAUCUGGCGCUGAUGCACGAAAGCCAGGGGAGCGAACGGG
RNAcentral lists this ribosomal RNA (253 nucleotides) under uncultured bacterium. Its description in RNAcentral is "partial 16S ribosomal RNA". It matches the Rfam family "Bacterial small subunit ribosomal RNA", at positions 524 to 776 of the family's 1533-position model. The record is from RNAcentral.